ACUAACUAGGAUCAAAAGAUUCGUCUUGUGAUUUACAGCUAAACUGUGUAAUUAGUUUUUAUUUUCGUUUAUAUUUAAUGUUUCAUACAUGUGCUACAAGAUUCGAUGUGACGGGCAAUCUUGAAAACUUUUUGGUUUUCAAAGUGAACUAAACAAGACCCAAACCAUUGCCCCUGCACAGUCUUCGUAAAGCACACCGCCUUCUCUACACAAAAAGUAAAGUCACCGCUAGCUUUUUAAACCACUGUCACCCUCUUCCCGGGUAGGCACAGC
RNAcentral lists this long non-coding RNA (273 nucleotides) under Sorghum bicolor (sorghum). RNAcentral's name for it is "long non-coding RNA (SBIC_LNC013217)". The record is from RNAcentral. Lineage: Eukaryota; Viridiplantae; Streptophyta; Magnoliopsida; Poales; Poaceae.